This 1435-nucleotide long non-coding RNA is filed under the name Aotus nancymaae (Ma's night monkey). Its description in RNAcentral is "lncRNA (ENSANAG00000038570.1)". The record is from RNAcentral. Lineage: Eukaryota; Metazoa; Chordata; Mammalia; Primates; Aotidae.
UUUUUCUUGAGACCUGGUCUGGCUCUGUGGCUCAGGCUCGAGUGCAAGUGGCGUGAUUACCGCUUAUUGCAGCCUCAGCCUCCUCUAGCCUUAGCCUCUCCGGUACCUGGGACCACGAGCUGGCGCCACCACCUCCGUCUACGUUUUUUGUAUUUUUAGCAGAGACUGGGAUCUUGCCAUGUUGGCUAGGCUGCUCUUGAACUCCUGAGAUCAAGCGAUCCGCCCGCCUCGGCCUCCCAAAGUGCCGGGACUGCAGGCAUGAGCCAUUGUGCCGGGCGCUCAGCCUCUUUUGGCGCCUACUUUCGCCUUUCCGGGGCCAGGCAUGUGCAGCGUGUUGGAGAAGGGUCCCGCCCUCUACGGGAAGUCCUCGCUGCCAAGGUCACAGGCGCGGAGAACAGGAGAACCGAGCAUGAAAAUACACAUGAACUCUUAAGAAAAAACAUUUCUAGCAAUCAGCAAAUACUAAGAACUUAUUGAGCUCUGUGCCUGAUGAUAUAGAAGGUAAGAAUUAAAUUGUCCUGUUCUUGCUUUUAUUUGUUUAAGUUUUAACAUCUUGGAUACUAGUGUUUUUGCUUUUUAGAGAGCUUACUGCCAAGCUGAGGGGUAAGUCAGACAUUACACAUUUUCAGAAAAGAAAACAUAUGCAGAAGUUGCAUGUAACUGGAAACAAACAAAAAGAAUAUUUGAGAAUGGGAAAGUUUGAUUAAAUCACACAGCAAUGAAAUCGAAGACUAAUAUAAAAAUAGCACGUUUCCAAUCAAUCCUUGUCUGAAAUAAAUGUAUAUUGUGCACCUGUUAGGAACCCUAUACUGUACUAAAAACUAAAUUAAAAGCAACCACAUUAAGCCCUCGAGGCAAAGUCAGAACAAACCCUCCUGAUGCCUGGGGGACAGAGCUCCUUCACCUUCUGUUUCAGACAUCAAGUCCCUGUGCUGUUCACAAUAAGCUACUUUCAAUUCAUGGACAUUGGAUCAAUGCCUUUGAUGUGAAGUCAUCCAUGUUAGGGUACAAUUUCAUGAGGCAACAAAUGGAGUUAAGCUCCCUAUGCCUCCAUUCUGAGAAAUAUUGCAUCCACAGAGUAAAAGCAUAUUAGAAGGCUGCAGGCUGCACUUUCUUCUAUACUUUUUUUUUUUUUUGAGACAGAGUCUCACUCUGUUGCCCAGGCUGGAGUGCAGUGGGGCUAUCUACAAAUUAAACAACAAUAUUAGCUGGGCACAGUGGUGCGUGCCUGUAAUCCCAGCUACUCAGGAGCCUGAGGCAGGAGAAAUUGCCUGAACCCGGGAGGCGGAGGUUGCGGUGAGCCAAGAUCGCGCCAUUGCACUCCAGCCUGUGUAAUAAGAGUGAAACUCCAUCUCAAAAAAAAAAGAAAAAGAAAAAAAAAAGAAAGAAAGAAAAAUAAAAUUGGCCAGGUGUGGUGGCUCACACCUAUAAUACC